Molecule: ribosomal RNA, 497 nt
Filed under: uncultured bacterium
Lineage: Bacteria
Description: partial 16S ribosomal RNA
Rfam family: Bacterial small subunit ribosomal RNA
Source: RNAcentral
GAUGAACGCUGGCGGCGUGCCUAAUACAUGCAAGUCGAGCGAACGGACGAGAAGCUUGCUUCUCUGAUGUUAGCGGCGGACGGGUGAGUAACACGUGGAUAACCUACCUAUAAUACUGGGAUAACUUCGGGAAACCGGAGCUAAUACCGGAUAAUAUUUUGAACCGCAUGGUUCAAAAGUGAAAGACGGUCUUGCUGUCACUUAUAGAUGGAUCCGCGCUGCAUUAGCUAGUUGGUAAGGUAACGGCUUACCAAGGCAACGAUGCAUAGCCGACCUGAGAGGGUGAUCAGCCACACUGGAACUGAGACACGGUCCAGACUCCUACGGGAGGCAGCAGUAGGGAAUCUUCCGCAAUGGGCGAAAGCCUGACGGAGCAACGCCGCGUGAGUGAUGAAGGUCUUCGGAUCGUAAAACUCUGUUAUUAGGGAAGAACAUAUGUGUAAGUAACUGUGCACAUCUUGACGGUACCUAAUCAGAAAGCCACGGCUAACUACGUG